ACCUAGCGAUAAUUAAGUGUUUUGGGACCAUGUAGGGCAUUUAUAAAAGAUGGAGCAACUUAUUCUCACUGCCACAUCGCUCAAAGUGGAAAUACUGGCCAUUCUUUUGUCAGACUACGCUUAAACAUGUGUGGGGGUUCACCAUGAAGCUUCUAUGUGGGCCAUUAAGGGACUUUUGGGCUUUUGUAACAGGUGACGAAGACUGGAGAACAAUCAAAACUGCCGGCCAUCACAGAGCAACAGAUGGAGGUGCACAACAGGAUAUUACCACUAAGAGGAUUCCUCUUUCUUUGCCUGUCACUCUGGACUUUUUUUUGUGGCGACAGACUCUUUCAUCGUGACCCAGCUCGACUGGCUUACUGGAAGUGGUGUAGAGUUUGUCGGUUAAGCCCUCUGAAACCCGCCACUACGCAUGUUGACCUGCUUGGCAAACAGAAAAUCCCGAUCGAGUCUGCUGCGAAUAACAUUAAAAUAAGCAACCAGGUGGGAUUAGAAAGUCCUCCUAGUGUCUUGAGUCCCUGAACUCUGACCUUUCGCUCAGAACGCUGAGGAGGAUGCCGUGAAGCUGCUGACAUUAAAAUCGAUCCCUGUCAACACGCUGCCAUUCUUGAUACCACAAGGGACAUUGACAACUGUGGCUGGUGUGAAGACCUAGAGACAAGGACACACAUCUCUGGUGAGAUGGAGAAGACGGGUGGUGAGGAGAGUGUGAGAGAAUUUGUAGGUCUUCAUGCAUUUACCAGUCACUUUUCAGUCUCGGCUGCUUCCUGGUGAGACUUCAGGGACACAGAGGGUUUAUGGGUUCACAUUUAAGAAUAUAUUAAUAAUUUGAUUAAAAGGUGCAUAAUGAAAGACGGAUCUUAUAUUCAUUAUUUAUUCAUCUUACAUAUAUAUUAUAUAUUCAUCAUUCAGAGAAAAACUCCUUUAACUCUUCUAUUGAACUUAAAUAUGUCAUUUUGCGAAUACAGAAAUAUAUAGUUUUAUAACUGAAAUUCUGUUUUGGCUUUGUAUAGUACUGAUGUAUUAUCAGAAUAUUUCUUGUUUACUUUUUUCCUGUCUUGUCUUGUUAUUCAACAUGUAGCAUUGUCUUGUAAUCGUAUGGGUUAAAUGUUUCUCUUCACACAGAUAAAAACUAACCAACUACAGUAUAUUUCUUUAUUAUAUAAUGUAGAAAGAGGGUUGAGAUGCAGAAUUACAAUUAAUUUACUGUGGGGUUUCUCAGUGCCUUGUUUUCAAAAUGAGAUAUCAUAUCAAAAUUAUAUUUGCAUAAGUAAUGAAUUAAAAUGCUUUGAAACUG
Molecule: long non-coding RNA, 1297 nt
Organism: Seriola aureovittata
Lineage: Eukaryota; Metazoa; Chordata; Actinopteri; Carangiformes; Carangidae
Exons: 3
Source: RefSeq, a predicted model, not a curated record